ACUCAACAUUAAUUCUUUAUAAAGGGUGAGUUUAAGCUGUAAAAGCGGGCUGUCUUUGAACAGAUACUUGAGCAGUUUGUUAGCCCUAAACCUGUUUUUCAGGAGUUU
RNAcentral lists this small RNA (108 nucleotides) under Flavobacteriaceae bacterium. Its description in RNAcentral is "6S RNA". It matches the Rfam family "6S-Flavo RNA". The record is from RNAcentral. RNAcentral also lists the same sequence under 1 other name. Lineage: Bacteria; Pseudomonadati; Bacteroidota; Flavobacteriia; Flavobacteriales; Flavobacteriaceae.